UGGGCUUCCAGGCACCAAAAGCCGGCCCAGACACUGUGGAGCGUCCUGCACGCGCUGCUGGCCAGGCGGGGACUGUCGGUGGAACCGGGCCAACGUCUUAGCGGAGAGUCUCCCGGGAAGCAAGGAGAACGAACAAGAACGAACUACCCGAGACCGUUCCUUCCCAAGAUCGAACGACCCUCACUGUGAGAGGCGUGUGUUGUCCUCACCACGUUGUUGCCCUGGCGCUGGUCUGUGUAGGCUGGGCAUUGCACGGCACGGUGGCACAGACCCCUGCAAAUAGCCCACGGAGGGCCAGAGGAGGGGACCGAGACACUGACGGGGAAAUUCCACUCCAGAGGUUGCUCGAGGUGCUCUGACUUCCAGGUUCUUCUUUGUGAACCGAAGGUUACUUUUUCCAGUGGAGAACAUCCCGUGGGUGGCUACGUGAAAUCGCAUGAAGCUUAUGCAUGUUGGCAGAAUUGUCACCCUGCGGUCGCGAGGUCUUCCCAUCCAUUUAGACUUCUCUUAUUUUGCACCCUUUGGGAAAAUUGUUUCAUUUUCUUCCAAGAUUUCUUGAUUUUUAAAAAAUGAUGGCAAAAGUCCAAGUGGCUGGUGUGGGCCA
This is a long non-coding RNA of Tupaia belangeri chinensis (Chinese tree shrew), 604 nucleotides long. RefSeq lists it as uncharacterized. NCBI's taxonomy places the organism in Eukaryota, Metazoa, Chordata, Mammalia, Scandentia, Tupaiidae. The record is from RefSeq and is a predicted model, not a curated record. The transcript has 3 exons.